GGAGCUUGUAAUGUUUCUGGGGCCUUCUCUGUGGUGUUUGCAUACAAAGGAGACAUAAACACAAGCCCUGCUAGGAGGGGUUUGCGAGGGACUUUAAGACAUAGAGUUUUAUAUAUUAUGCAGUACUGCAUGCAGAGUCCUGCACAAAUGCACAGGGACCCAUUGAAUCUCAGCAUGUCGGGAGCACAAAAAAGUCCGCUCUGAAGAUUAUUUGUCAGUCCCUAAAUCCCUCAAGGGCUAUCCUCCUCAAUGCGAACACACACAUACAUCUUAACUCCUGGUCAUUAACCAAAAAGGCCCAGUGACUUUUCCCUUUCGGGAAUGUGACUGUGGUAUCAAGAACUUAAUAGCCUUAUGAUUUUAAUCAUAUACAGAGAACUUACCUGAUAAGUCGCCGUACUUACGGAUGUGUUCAUGAGUGGGGACCAGGAUGCUUAUGAGCAUUUUCUACUUUCUGUUUCAUGUGGAAGGAUCACUAGGAGAACUGGCAGAAGAGGCUGAGAGAGGAGCUUCACCCAUACACUUGACACAUGUAGCUAUAGAUGCACACAUACUGAAUAAUACCCAAAUACUGAAUGAUAGCUUACAAUGACACAGUUAUCAUUAAUCGUGUUAUUAAUUAAUAAUAACUAAUUGUUAUUGAGUUAUUAAUAACAAUCGGAAAAUAAUAAUUUUGACAAUGGAAAUGUUCACAGGCUUAUAUUUGGCUGCCUAGUCCGAUUAUGUAUUAUCUAUGAAUUGGGCAAGUCACGUGGCGAUCUGUGUCGCCAACUGCUUAGCUGAAAGGUGGGGUAAUAAUGACAGCCCCUUCUUAGGUGGUCGUGAAAAGUAAAGUUUAUAAACCCAAAGUGCUUUAGAUACAUAGUGUUAAUGAUCUCCUUCAGAUUUUUGGAAGAAAAAAGUUUAUUUGGUUCUUCUUAUUGUAGAUUAGGCAGUCUGAAACUUUUCAGAUCUCUUCCAGAUACUGUUGGGCAAACUUAAUCAAAUGUAUGAGAACAAAACGCAACAAGUCUUAGAGGGGAAGGUUCUUGGUACCCUUGUUCUUAGGGUUCAGGGGCUCCCUGCAUUGCAUCCUUAACCUCAAAGGAUUAUUUCACUGGCCUUGCUCUCCUCUGGGCACUGACCUGUGCCAGAGGGGAGGGCGCCAUGCAAGCACCCAGCUGGGAACUACUUAAACCACUGACCCCAUCUCCCCACAAUUUCCAGAGAUUUCCGCUUGCCCCGGGCUUCUCUUUAGUGCCCCGGGGUGAGGUCAGGUCUGAGCUUGUGGCCCUGGGCCUCUGCCCAUGUCAGCUGGGCUUUAGGGGAACAAGAGCGACACAAAAUAAAGAAAGACCAUUCCAAAGGAGAAUGGCCUUCUAUCGUGGGGAGUCAUGCUGGGGAUAUUUCUCCUUGGUGAACUUGUAGAUUCUUCCUCUCUGUGUGAAGACAUGGAACUCACCAAGCCUUCUCCCAGGUGCCAACACUUACUUACACGUGUGGGCCACCCUUAGCUUCCUUCGUGCCCUCUCUGCUGUGUGGUAGCCAGGUCUGACUGCAUCCUUAGCUCAUCAUGUUCUUACGUUAAGUUCUACCUGAUCACUGCCUCUGGGAUCUCUGUAUUAAUUCUGUAAGUUGUUUGCUUAUUCAUUUUAUGUUUGUCUUCAAUGUCAGCAAACUUUAGUGAAACAAACACCACCACAUUUGUGAUACAGGAUAUCUUUCCAUUCUGUAAAGUAUAGUUUAUUUUUAAGGCAUUCAUUCUCAGUGAGAUGACAACCAUGAAAGAGUUGCCGUCAGCCCGUGCGUGCUCCCUGAGUUCAUUCGCCAUCUGUGUUGAAUUGAGGUUAAGAGUGUAGCCCAGUAUGCAGCCUGCGUGUCUCAUCGCUCGCUCUACCACUCACUGCCCCUCUUUACGCCUUGUGGUCCUCACCUGUGGAUCCAUAUAAAAUGUUAGUGCCCCUUAACUCCAGAAGACCUGGUGGGGAGAGCCUUGUACCCAGACUGCACCCCUAUGAGAUGUACUGUCCGUGGGGAGUCAUUAGACCACUCGUCUGCCUGUUUCUCUGCCACAGUACCACCUAACCUGCUACUGAUAGCAUCAGGAUUAUACUUACAUGUGUUUGGAUGCUCAUACCCAUGACCCAUGUGCAUGUACACAGUGGUGCCAGAGGAAGAUGCCAGGUGUCCUACUAUAUCACCCUUUGCCUUAUUCUCUUGAGACAGCAUUCCUCAUUGAACCCAGAAUUCACCAUUUUCUGCUAGGGUUGCCGGCAGGCUAGCAAGCCACAGUCCUUGUAUUGAUUUCCUUCUCCCUACCCUGAGACACAGAAUCCCAGGCUUAUGCCUGGCUGUGCCUGGUGGGAUGUGCACCCAGUUUCUCAUGUUUGCACAUCAAGCACUCUUGCCUGCAAAGACAUCACCCAGCCCCAUCAUUUUACUUCUUAUCCAAGUGUUUAGCUUUAUCAUUUUCUGGACAUGUAUUUAGGUAUUUCCUACUUUCAAACACACAUAAAAUGUAAUCAUAAGGUAGUUUGUGGGUGUAUCCACGGGAACAGAUAAAAUAAUGUGGCCAUGCAGAUUGGCAGACAAAGCUCAGCCCUCUGGUAAAGAGUAAGCUGCCCUUGAUAAUGCUAGGCAAUAGAUGUUUGUCUGAUGAGCUUUUGAUGGAUAUCUAUCCUGAUGGCCUCAGCAAUUAAGGUAUGGAAUUUGGUGGCAUAUGGUGGCUUCUUGCCACAGUAGACUCCAGAAGAUCAAACUACAACAUUGCCAAUUACAUAUGGCAGAGGGUGUAUAUCUUUGAAUUAGUUAUGGAACCCCAGAGUGCUUGUAAUGUGUGGGGCAGUUAUGUGCAACUGAGACUUUCUGUUGGUUUUCCAUAUAAAUUGGUCUUCUUUCUGUAAGUAUGCCACUUCUAACUGGCAAUGACUGGUGCAGAUCUUAUUUUCCGUUUCUGGUUCAUAAUAAGGGAUCAUCUAUCACCUGCAAGAGGCUCACAGCGAUGAUUGAGUAUGGGAAUGUGUGAGUUUGGGUCACUUCCUCUGAGCACGUACUCUUGAAUCCACAUUAGAAAGCUACAGGGCAAGAAUCUGUGAGCUUAGAUUACCCGAGGAUAAAGUGUCAAGAAGAAAACAGACACUGGUGGACAGUAUAAUCUGAAGAGCUGAUGUGAGGCAUCCUCUGUCCAGACGGUGGUCCCCUUUCCUGUGCUAAUUGCACUGAGCUAUUGCUAUCAGUGACAGGAAAGAAGGGAAAUGACAAAGUGUGGAGAUCCUGGCUCAGCUGUGAGACGAAGACCAUGAGGAGAGUGCCAAACUGCACAGAGCCUGAGUGUCUGACUGCCCAGAGCAUGAGUGUCUGACUGCCCAGAGAAUGAGUGCCUGACUGCCCAGAGCAUGAGUGUCUGACUGCACGUAGGCUGUGUCUGACUGUACAUUGUCUGACUGCACAGUGUCUAACUGCAUGGAGGCUGACUACACAGAGGCUCACUGCAUCAGUGCACAGUGUCUGAAUGCAUGGAGGCUGACUACACAGAGGCUCACUGCAUCAGUGCACAGUGUCUAACUGCAUGGAGGCUGACUACACAGAGGCUCACUGCAUCAGUGCACAGUGUCUGACUGCAUGGAGGCUGACUACACAGAGGCUCACUGCAUCAGUGCACAGUGUCUAACUGCAUGGAGGCUCACUACACAGAGGCUCACUGCAUCAGUGCACAGUGUCUGACUGCAUGGAGGCUGACUACACAGAGGCUCACUGCAUCAGUGCACAGUGUCUAACUGCAUGGAGGCUCACUACACAGAGGCUCACUGCAUCAGUGCACAGUGUCUGACUGCAUGGAGGCUGACUACACAGAGGCUCACUGCAUCAGUGCACAGUGUCUAACUGCAUGGAGGCUGACUACACAGAGGCUCACUGCAUCAGUGCACAGUGUCUAACUGCAUGGAGGCUCACUACACAGAGGCUCACUGCAUCAGUGCACAGUGUCUGACUGCAUGGAGGCUGACUACACAGAGGCUCACUGCAUCAGUGCACAGUGUCUGAAUGCAGAGGCAAGUCUGCUUUGUGGCUGUAUAAUUUGCCUCCGGUUGCCUUUCCUAGUCCACCGGGGCCUCCAUGAAGCUGUGUUUGACCUUUCCACUUCCCAUCCAUUCUUUCUCACAUUAGCUUUCAGGGCAUGGGUAGUCUCUCUCAUGUUGCAGUUCUGAUGUAGAAUGCUUGUGAUGAUUGUGUGAAUGCUUCAGGUUUAUACACAUGUGCUAAUUCCACAGGAGACACUGAGUAACAUUCAUAGCUAUUCACCACAAUUAUAGCAAAUGCUGAGAAAUUUUAUAAUUUUGAUUUAAUUACACAAUUUUGGAUUGGUAGUAUAUUCCAUGGUUCAAAUGUUUAAGACCUAAAAGGAUGUAUAGGAAACAAGUUAAUCACUUGUGUUCCAGGCCAGCCGGUGUUAUCCCCGUGGAAACCAGAUUUUUUUCAUUGAAGACAUUACAUCGUAUGUUUGUAUGUGUGUAUGUGUUUGUUUGCUUAAUGUGCAUAUAUGUGGGCAUGUGCAUGCCAUCGGACCUGUGGAUGUCAGAGGAAACUUGCAGCAGCUGAUUCUCACCUUCCACUAUGAAGGUUUUGAGGACCAAGCUUUUGUUGUCAAACUUGGUGGCAAGCCCCUUUACUCACUAAGCCAUAUCACCAGCCCCAUGGAAGGCAUUUUACAAGUAAGAGUGCAAUAGAAUAAUAUAGCUCCUGACAGCAGUGUGUUGCAGGUGUCACAUACACUGGCUGGGAAGAGCUGGGCAGUAUUAAUUUGAUAGACUGGUUAUGGAAAUCUGUGAGAUAUGGAAAUAAGUAAGUGUGCCAAAGCACAGCUUUUAAAAUAUGUGUUUUUUAAAAAGCCUUAGCUUUUGAUAUCCCUCACGUGUUUGCAUCCAUGCACAGAUAGAUGCCAGAAAGAUGACUGUGAAAUGGGGAGAAGAGGCUGGGGAAAAGGUUUGAGUCCUGUGGAGGGUCACAGAAGACAUGUGCCUUGAAGGUGGACUGGUGACUAGUGGAAGGGGAAAAAGUACAGUAGGAGAAGGAUGGGAUGGGAUGGGGGAGGCUGGAUAAAGAGCAACAGAGACCGAACAUGCAUGGAACUCCCAUCUCGAAACCUGCGUGCUAACUAAAAACUAAUAUGAUAACCACUUCCACGAUCUUUGCACACAUAACUGAGGCCACGUAUCUGAGCUAUUACAGUCUGCAGUACAGUGCCGAUUGCCACCCUGGCACCUGGAGGAAAACGCCACAUGGCCUCCUAAGCCUUUUCUUAAACUUGCUUGCAUGAAAUUUUAGAUGAUUGGCAACAAAUUUCUGCCAAAUAUUAAAAUCAUCGCUUCUAAGUAUUAUAUACUAUUGUACAUUAAAGUUGAAAAUUGUGUUCCAUAUAUCAUGUUGUCACACAGUUGGAUGCUCAAUAAUCACUUGGUAGAUGAAGAGUCAAGUGGAAGAUAGAAAGUAUGAACAUGAUCAUAACUGGGAAUCAUAAAACCCGUUGCUGCUCCCAUUCUCGCAGACCAUAGAACCAUGGAAACGUUCAGACAUCUCUGAGGAUGCGCAAUGCCCAGCCAAUCCUGAACUGUCGUUAGCUCAAGCGUGGGAGAUCCCAUCCACUAACCAUAGCCACUGCAUCAAAACUGCUGUAAGAAAAGUCCUCCAAGAAUAACAAACUCUGUUUUAAGCUAUUCCUCAGCUGAAAACCUAACCAUACAACUUUGUUGGUUUGGACAUAAGAGACUGAUGGUCUUGCCCUGGGUCCUGGGACACCCAAAGGUGGCUAAGGGUAAGAUAGAGAUUGGAAGGGAAAACUAUCAAGAGCAUCUCAGAACUGGAAGCAUGCUUAACUCCGCCAUGGUGUGCAAUCAACAUCAGACAACAGUCUAAUUGUGAAACUACAAGGUCCUCACGGCAGUGCACAGUGCUCUAGUGAGCUAGGAGGAAGGACUCAUUUGCCCACCCAUCUUGACAUACUGGCUCCAGAUACUCUUGUUCAAAUAGAGGCUGCUAUUAAUUAAAGCACAGGUUUACAUGAGCAUCGUGUAAGGAGACUACUGGCUCAGGUUUUCCUGAGUCAGCAUAACCGUCACCACUUCCUGUAAACAACUGCUGGGUCUGUGCGCCUGUCUGAAAGAACAAAGACACGGGGACAGCCAGUGCAGUCCUCUCUGCAUUUCACAUUUCUGAGGUCUGUGUUUCAAGGAGAAAGAAGAGGAAAUGGGCCAAGAAUUUUAAGACACCACCAACAAUUUCUUCAGUACUGGCGAAGAAGAAUAUACACAACAUUAAAGGCUUGCUGAAACAGCAAAAAUAGAUUUGUCAGUAAAAACAAACACGAACUUCCUCAGCAAUUUCCAAAGGCCACCCUUUCCUUUUCGUGUUAUCCAGCUCUGUGGCUUCCCUCAGAUCAACACAGUCCCCUUUACAGACAGGUGCAAUUACCUGGCCCACCCUCUCUAUACUUUAUGAGAUUUCCCUCAUUUUCCGAGAGUGUUGGGAUUUACAUAAAUUGGUCCUCACGAAGUCGCUAUUAGAAUUUUCCUGAUACCCCAGUGUUAUUUAUGAUUCUAGCUUUGAAUGCUCUACAAAUAGCACACCCAGAGAUAAUGUGUGGCAGCAGCUUUGCAGACGGAUUUAAAAAUGUCUUGUGGUUUGCCGCCAUCUUCCGAAUUAAUCAACCUAAGGUGGAAAAGUGAUUUUUUUCCUACUCUGUUCAUAUUAAUUAUUCUACUUUCUGGGAAAUUACAAAUGCAUUCAUACAUGAGUUUGAUGAAAUGUACUUGAGAGUGCUUGUCAUCGAGUAAGCCAUUUUUCUUUCGUGACGUGGCUGCGAUGCAUCUUCUAACAUUAGUUUGCACACACGCAUGUUGCUGAGAGACAUGGGAGGUUCUUCAGAGCAGGAGUAAACGUAGAACUCUGGAAACAAAUAGCAGUUGCCAUACUUUCUGUCAGCCCCAGGCUUGCUCUUAGGUGGACCGAUGGAACAGAAUUCAAGUUUUAGUGUGUAAAGGUAAGCUCAUGGGACACAGGUCUCCCCCCCUGUGCCAAAGACGAGAAAGGGCCGCAUGGUUAUUGCUAUCCUGAGGAUUCACUUCUCAGUCCUGCAUGUUGGACCCUGCAUCAUACUUCCCCUUCCCAGAGAAGGCUGGUUCCAGGUCCCCUUCCUGUUUUGAGCAAGCCCAAUCGUGAGGCUCCAAAUACAUCAGAUGGUGAAGAGUUCCCCUUCCCUGCAGAUCACGGAGGACCCGUGCUAUGGCUGUUGGCUAGAGUUGGCUGCGGAACAAGGUAUCCAGUCAGUCUGCUACUCGAUCUGAGGGUACUUAACUUUAGUUCAUCUGCUUCGCCAAGGACAUAAAGGAGACUUUAUGGUUUCCUCUAUUUUUUCAAAAAUGUUGCAACAAGUAAAUUUAGAGGUCUGUCUAAUCCUCUACCCCUUGAAAUUAUAAGCAUGCUGUGGAUCAGGGCCAUGUUUCAUACCAAGCUUCUCCUAAUGGAGAGAUCUGAGGUCAUUGAUGCAGAAUUCCGCAUGUGAGAGAGAAGGAGAGGGAAUUGUAAGUCUAGCACGUGUGUCAAUGUCUUCAAUGUGUUACCUCUCCUCAUAGAUGAUGUCUUGUGAUUAAAAGUGGGAUUGUUAAUAUUUGGAAAUUGCCUGGAAACCUCCUGUCUUCCUUACGAAUAUCUGAUAUUCCAUACACUAGUCAUUCAUGUUAGUUUACCUUAAGUAAUUUUUCACACUGUGAGGUCAGGUAUCCUAUUAAAUCUACCAUUAUUGCUUUGCCAUUCCUUCAGUCUCUGCUCCAUCUUUGUCCCUAUAUUUCUUUUAGACAAGACAAAUUUUGGGGUGAAAGUUUUGUGGAUGUGCUGCUGUCCUUAUCCCUCCCCGGGAGGUCCUGCCUAUCUACAAGUGGCCUCUUCGGAUUCCAUGUCCCCACUGUUAGGCAUCUUGGCUAAGGUCACCUGCAUUCACUCCUGGGAGCCUUCUCCAUCCUGGGUCUCUGGGACUUCCUAGAGAUCCCUACUCCAGUGGCUGCAGAUGGCCAGGCACUCUCCUGGCCCUCUGAGCCUCUCUCCUGUUUCUCCCCAGAUCUGAUCCUAUUUCCCAUUUCUCAGCUUCCCUCUCCCACACAGUCCCUUCCUCUGUCUCCUAUAAAGCAAUCAUUUUAACCUCCAAAUGAGGGUGAUGUUAUGCUAAUGACGCAGAGGAAGGAGAAUGCAGUUCCUCUCCAAAUUAGAAGAGAAUGUCAUUAGGAAACUCAAGAAAAAUUGGAAAUCAUUAAAAUUGUGUAGGAAAUUUGUGGUGUAAUAUAUAUAAAAUAUAGGAGGUUUGUCUUGGUUUGUAGCAGUUGUUUGAAAUAAGAAUCGACCGAGGAAUCUUGUAAUCACCUUCUGUAACUGGCUCAACAGGAAAGAGUUAUCCCAAGUCUGUGUUCGACUUUGCAAUUAGUACGAUGUGUAGCAUCCAUGAAAAUACUGGCAUUUAGUGUUCCUGGAUCUGUUAAUUGGAGUUUUGAAUGCGGGAGGCAGCACUUACAUAUGUAACCUUUACUUUAAUCAGCAAAGCCAUGGACAGAUAACAGCCCAUUGUAAUGUUCUGUAGUCUUAUUUGGUAGCAAGUUGAUGCUUUGGACUUUGAUAGCAAUAUAAACAGAAGAGGCAGGCAGUCCCAGGGCCAUUUUCCCAACAACCCAAUCUUUUCUCACAGACAAGUACUGACACGUUAGGUCUCCAUCAGCACCGAGGGCUGAUUCUGGGCCAUGCAUUUUGCUCUGGAAUCCUUUUGUUGACUUUGAAAGACUAUCACCUGACUGUGAUUAAUGUAACGUUAGAGGACUUGGUAUUCCAUGCUCUGCAUCUUCUUUUUUUUUUUUUUUUUUUUUUUUUUUUUUUUUUUUUUUAAGACAGGGUUUCUCUGUGUAUCCCUGGCUGUCCUGGAACUCACUCUGUAGACCAGGCUGGCCUUGAACUCAGAAAUCCGCUUGCCUCUGCCUCCCAAGUGCUGGGACUAAAGGCAUGCGCCACCACACCUGGCUUUUUUACCUUUUUUUUUUUUUUUUUGGCAUCUUCUUGUUCUUAAGAAUCUGCUGUUGCUGUCUGGAUUACCAUUUUGGUAUAAAACAGAAUCAGUUAUUAAUUUAUAUUAAAAACACGAACAGACCUUGUUUUGGAAUCAUGUUGCAUUUAUAGAUUAAAAUGCGUUAACUUUAAAAAUUUAUUUAUUUUAUGUAUGUGAGUACACUGUUGCUUUCUUCAGACACACCAGAAGAGGGCACCAGAUCCUGUUGUAGAUGGUUGUGAGCCACCAUGUGGUUGCUGGGAAUUGAACUCACAACCUUUGGAAGACCAGUCAAGCCUCUUAACUGCUGAGCCAUCUCUCCUGCCCAUGUGUUAACUUUUAAUUUUAUUUUUACGACACCAAGCCUUCUUUUCUGGGUAAUGGCUUAUCCUUAAUUUUUACGUCUUAUUUUUUCUUAUAAGGGCACUUAAAGGACACACAGACUUUAUUAGAUACAUUUCUAGGAUCCUUUAUAAGUUGGCUGCCAGUGAAUUGGAAUCUUUAUUUUGUGUGAUUAUUUUUCUAAUUUGGAAAAGAGUUAUCAAUACUAUAAUACUAGAAAAUCAUAUGUUUUCUUUUAUGUUAAAGGUGACUUCACUCGCAGCAUUUAAGGAAACACAGUUUUGGAGGUUUGGGCUUCAGUGUAGAGUAUACCAGCAUUCGGAAUGCACUGCCAAAAUGUAUUCUGUCUUCUGCAAUCUGUGGGGCGCACACUGGCAUUUCAAGAACCUUCUCCUAGAUGAAUGGUAAAGAGUCAUUACAAUGUAGUUAAAUUCUGACAUGAAGACGAAACUGACACUCACUCACAUUUAUGGAGAUCUUUCUCCCACUUACUAAUCAAGGAAAGAGAACAUAGAUCAUUUAGAACAUUGUUUCUCAACUCGUGGGUAGUGAGCCCUUUGUUGGUUGAACUAUCCUUUCACAGGGUUCACAUAUCAGAAGUCCUGCAUAUCAGAUAUUCACAUUACAAUUCAUCACAAUAGCAACGUUACAGUUAUGAAGUAGCAAUGAAAUAAUCUUAUGGUUGGGGGUUACCACAACAUGCGGAACUGUAUGUACUAAAGGGUCACAGCACGAGGAAGGCUGAGAGCCACUGAUUAGAACAUGUUUUAUCUUUCCCUGGAGUUUAGUGUGUUCCCUUUUAAACAGCCAGGUGAAAUGUUAUUUUGCCUUCUCUAUUGACAAUGAAGUUAAUGUUGUCUGCAUUGCUUGAGAAAUCUUAUGCUCCUUGAUGUUGUGGGCACUUGAAUUCCAUUGAUUUUUUUUUUUUAAAGAAAAAGUCUUAUAUUUUCUCUCAUGGUUGAAGUCUUGUAUUGAUUUGUUUCAUCACAGCUCAAGCUGAGGCAAAGCCAUUCAUAGUUUUGCUGCUUAUUAUUAUUAUUAUUUUUUGCCAUUGACUUUUAUCCAUUGAUCAGGUUGGAAGACAAAUCAUAUGACACCAUAUUUUCUUAAUUCUUUACUCUGUGCUUGUUUAAAACUGUAGGCAGGAGUGGUACAUUCCUGGAUCACAGGACACAUAAAUUGCUGAAUGCUCAUUCUAUCCAGCUAGGAACAUGCUCUGUUCACCACAAGGACAGAAGUGUGAACUGUGUUUUGUCUAAACUAUAUGGAAACAGUUUCUUUUGCAGUUGUUUUAAGCUUAAGUGACUUAAGCUUACAUUUACACACUGUGACUUUAGCAAUGCAUUUACAUUGUGUACAGUUUUAUGAAAGUAGUGUUACAUUUAAAAUAUGUUUUCUAAUAUGGCAUCUUGAGAAUGACUAUAAUUUGUAAAAUUUACAGCUCCCCAGGUACUUGUGAAUUUGAUGUUUUGUAUAUAACUUUUGAAUAUAUUAAGUUUUAUAACUUGUUACUCUAUCAGACAUGAACAUUCUAAACAUGCUUUCCAACUGUUAGCGUUCUUACUGUUAGUCAUGUAUGUAUGUGUGUGUGUAUACUCACAUGCACAUGAACAUACAUGCAUACCUGCAGUGAUAAAUUCCUCAGGUUCAUGUUUUCUUAUAAUUAUAAAAACUUGAAAUGGUUGCAAACUUGCCCAGAACUUAUAAAGCAAGCUAAAUGACCUUCAUGUUGUACAAGAUUUCGAAUUGGUAACAUCUUACCUCAUUUGUUUCCACUACCCUCCAUCUCUUAUGUCAGUAAUGUCCUAGGCAUUUGCCAUAGACAUCCGGCAUACAACCUUGGUCAGCUGGGCAAUGUGGAGCUUGCAAGAUGACUAAGCAGGGAAACCCAUUUGCUGUGUGUGCUGCGGAGUCAACUUUAAUCCCCGGAUCCCAGAGAAAGGUGGAAGGAGAGAACUGAGUGCAUAUACUUUCCCUGUGCAUGGAAGGCACCAUAUACACUCAUACACACACACACACACACACACACACACACACACACACACACACACACACACACACACACUA
Molecule: long non-coding RNA, 11464 nt
Organism: Mus musculus (house mouse)
Lineage: Eukaryota; Metazoa; Chordata; Mammalia; Rodentia; Muridae
Product: predicted gene, 31370
Exons: 2
Source: RefSeq, a predicted model, not a curated record